GAACAAUUAACAGAGGUACAAUCCCAAUCUGGUUUUCUUUCUUAUUUGCACACACACACACACACACACACACUAACUAUACUGUAUCCUAACAGAAUUACAAAAGGCCAUGAAGGCUGAGACUUCAUCAUUCCUUAUAAAUUCCAUAUAAAAGACCUCCAGUCCCAGGCCCCACUCAGUACCAAAGCCUCAAACCUAAAUUAAGACAAAACCGUUGGAUUUGUUUUACUUUUAGUCCAAUUGGAAAAUUUUGUUUGUUGCUGUGGAUAGAAUUGCUGUUUGUUUUUUUGUUUUUUUUUUUGUUACGUUUUUGAGUUUGUUGGGUGUGGUUUUGAGCAUGUGGAAUCACCGGUCAUUCCCCGUGUUGUGAUUGAGUUUCUACAGAAAAUUGUGCUCCCAGUUUGACGUCCAAACGGGUUCAUUUGAAAGUGUGCUGUCCUUUUUUUUUUCUUCUUUUUUUUUAGGAAUGAACGUAAGAAUAGCAAAAGUCACGCAUAUCAGUUCGCUUGUCAAGUUAUUCUAAUUAUUAAUCAUUUUUGGCCCCUUUCCCCAGAUUUUAAAAUUUUCGUUUAGCGAAAUUGGUUGGCAAGCCUCUGGAGGUUGCUCCAUUUUAGAUUCUUAGUCUUUCUUAGUUUUUUUUGUACUAUUGUUUUUUUAAGACAUGCAGAAUAAAAGGAAAAAGGGAUGUCUCUCACCACAUGGAGAAGAGUGUAUAAAUGUUUAAAAGUCAAUAGAUGUGCAUUUAAAAAUGCAUGUAAUAUAUAUACAUGUCUAAUUAACAUAUACAAUAAUAAGGAUUCAGCUUCUUGGAUUCCUACCUGUGCUUUAGUGAGAGAGGUGCAUGUUGUUGACCGGAGGGUUAUUUGUAUGCGCUGUCUGACUUGAACCCGUCCUACAGUUUCAGUACUUGGAGGUACCAAAUGGGGCUAAAGGUUUCACAUGUUAAGCCCACGACCCCUCCUCAUUGUAUUAACUUUCAUUCACUGCAUACGAUGUGCAACAUGCACUCGCUAGAAAAGGCAUGUGAUUCAGUGUGAGCACUGGUAUACCCCAGACCUCUCCAUCAACAUCACAUAGUCUCUUAUGUCAUGGUAGGUGAUAUUUUCAUCUUUACUUUAUGGAGGAACAUGAUGUUUUUAAGCAUGUUAAAUGUUUGUUUGUUUUUCUCUCACUGAUGCUAAGGUUAGGGAUUUGUCUGCUCGUGUAUACAGAUAAUCCUUCUGUAAGGCAUUAUUUAUAUUUUCCACACUUAAGUUAUUUCAAAAUACAACUUAUUUAUUUUGUAUUAUUUAUAACGUUAUUUACUUUAAAGAUAAUGUUCUUCCUAGAUUAUGCAUUGCAAUCUUACUUUUUUUUUAAAGAGAUGUUCAAUAGUAUUCAAUUGCUUAAACUCUCCCAGCUUUUAAACGAAAAUGUAUUUGUGUUUACAGUGAAUUAUAAAGCUUAAGAUGCUUCCUCACAUUAAAACAUUCCAGUCCUAGAAUCUCUUAUCAUGACAACGCAGCUUUGGUGGGAAGUUUGUUUGUCUUUUGAUAUCAUAGUUAUGUAACCUUAAAGACUUGGUAGUGUAGAACGCAGACUGUUCUCACAGAGCAAUAGCCGUUAUUUCUCUCCACGCCCAAAUAUGAGCAACAUACAACCCCGCUGAAGGUUUGUAACGCACCUACUGUACGUGGGUGUGCGAUUGUACAGUUCCUAUAAAGGCAGUCUUAAAUAAACGUUCUUUCCAAAGAGAUUUCAACAAUAUAUUUAGAGCCAAAAAGAGCGCUUGUUAGACGACUUGCACUGACAAACUUGUGUGCGGUAGUGUUUUCCUACUCUGUGCAGCAGCUCCAAAAAGGGAAAAUGUUUGGGAAGUACACUGAUUACUCUGAACACUUACUGCCGUGGUUCACUUUUGACUUGUUUAUUUAUUGUGUUUUGCUACAGCUGUAAACUUGCUGGUGACUUACAGUAGGAACACCUAUUGAUCCUGUUCAACUCUCCUCUAAUUCUUCUUCCCUCCCCAUCAUAAAUCACUCUUGUAAAUAGAAAUUCCCUGCCCAUCGGGUAUUAGUUGUGUGAAUUGUGCUGUAAUUCUGUAAUGCCAGAUUUGCUAAAAUGAGGAAUCAAUAAACAAAUUCUAACAGCUGGA
This is a long non-coding RNA of Sander lucioperca (pikeperch), 2134 nucleotides long. RefSeq lists it as uncharacterized. Lineage: Eukaryota; Metazoa; Chordata; Actinopteri; Perciformes; Percidae. The transcript has 2 exons. The record is from RefSeq and is a predicted model, not a curated record.